Molecule: microRNA precursor, 120 nt
Filed under: Setaria italica (foxtail millet)
Lineage: Eukaryota; Viridiplantae; Streptophyta; Magnoliopsida; Poales; Poaceae
Also listed under: 1 other name
Source: RNAcentral
UGAAUAAGACGACAUGGCGUGGUGUUGUUUCGGCUCAUGCCCUCCAAUUCCUGGGGCGGUGAAUCGCCAAGGCACACGGGAGAGAUGAGCCGAACCAAUAUCACUCAUGUAUUCUUCAUU